RNAcentral lists this ribosomal RNA (471 nucleotides) under uncultured bacterium. RNAcentral describes it as "bacterial SSU rRNA". It matches the Rfam family "Bacterial small subunit ribosomal RNA", at positions 28 to 507 of the family's 1533-position model. The record is from RNAcentral.
GAUGAACGCUGGCGGCGUGCCUCAAACAUGCAAGUCGAGCGGGGCUAUGUAAUAUCGCAAGGUAGAACAUAGCCUAGCGGCGAACGGGUGAGUAACACGUGGGUAACCUGCCUGGAAGACAGGGAUAACGAUUCGAAAGGGUCGCUAAUACCUGAUAAUAUCCUUUCAUCGCAUGGUGAUAGGAAGAAAGGGGAAACCCGCUUUCAGAUGGGCCCGCGUCCCAUCAGCUAGUUGGUAAGGUAAAGGCUUACCAAGGCGACGACGGGUAGCCGGUCUGAGAGGAUGGCCGGCCACAAGGGCACUGAGAGACGGGCCCUACUCCUACGGGAGGCAGCAGUGGGGGAUUUUGGACAAUGGGCGAAAGCCUGAUCCAGCGACGCCGCGUGGAGGACGAAGCCCUUCGGGGUGUAAACUCCUUUUCUCAGGGAAAAGGAUGAUGGUACCUGAGGAAUAAGCCCGGCUAACUACGUG